UACAGAGACUGCAAGCGUUAUUCGGAUUCACUGGGCGUAAAGGGUGCGCUAGGCGGCCGGGUGUGUCAGGAUGUGAAAUCCCGAGGCUUAACCUCGGAACUGCGUCUGAAACUACUCGGCUAGAGUAUUGGAGAGGGUAACGGAAUUCACGGUGUAGCAGUGAAAUGCGUAGAUAUCGUGAGGAACACCAGAGGCGAAAGGCGGUUACCUGGACAAUUACUGACGCUCAGGGCACGAAAAGUAU
RNAcentral lists this ribosomal RNA (244 nucleotides) under uncultured bacterium. RNAcentral's name for it is "partial 16S ribosomal RNA". It matches the Rfam family "Bacterial small subunit ribosomal RNA", at positions 524 to 763 of the family's 1533-position model. The record is from RNAcentral.